AGUGAACGCUGGCGGUAGGCCUAACACAUGCAAGUCGAACGGCAGCACAGUAAGAGCUUGCUCUUACGGGUGGCGAGUGGCGGACGGGUGAGGAAUACAUCGGAAUCUACUUUUUCGUGGGGGAUAACGUAGGGAAACUUACGCUAAUACCUCAUACUACCUACGGGUUAAAGCAGGGGAUCUUCGCACCUUGCGCGUUUGAAUGAGCCGAUGUCGGAUUAGCUAGUUGGCGGGGUAAGGGCCCACCAGGGCGACGAUGCGUAGCUGGUCUGAGAGGAUGAUCAGCCACACUGGAACUGAGACACGGUCCAGACUCCUACGGGAGGCAGCAGUGGGGAAUAUUGGACAAUGGGCGCAAGCCUGAUCCAGCCAUACCGCGUGAGUGAAGAAGGCCUUCGGGUUGUAAAGCCCUUUUGUUGGGAAAGAAAAGCAGCAGGAUAAUACCCCGCUGUUCUGACGGUACCCAAAGAAUAAGCACCGGCUAACUUCGUG
This 492-nucleotide ribosomal RNA is filed under the name uncultured bacterium. Its description in RNAcentral is "partial 16S ribosomal RNA". It matches the Rfam family "Bacterial small subunit ribosomal RNA", at positions 29 to 507 of the family's 1533-position model. The record is from RNAcentral.